CUACGGCCGACGAGGAAGGCGGGGGUGGGUGGCUUACGAUUCUCCAUCAACGCGUAAAUGCGAUCGUCAGAACCUCUAGCCUGUUGUGCGUCCCUGGAGCCUAGCGAGAGCUUAUCAAAGACACCGCCGCCCGAGGGACAACCCCGGGCGUCCGACAAGGCUGUCCCGUCAACCUGAAUCCCGGGACCCAGAGCAGGAGGCAACCAGCCGUUUGCCGGCCCGGGGCCGUGAACGCCGGAGCCGAGCGGAAGCUUUCCGUGAGGCUGGAAUUCGCGCCUUGGUUCGCAGGGACGUGGCCGCUGCGGGCCCUCCGGAAAACAGAUUAUCGGAGCCC
RNAcentral lists this long non-coding RNA (334 nucleotides) under Neogale vison (American mink). RNAcentral's name for it is "Neovison vison (American mink) lncRNA (ENSNVIG00000018270.1)". The record is from RNAcentral. Lineage: Eukaryota; Metazoa; Chordata; Mammalia; Carnivora; Mustelidae.